UGGACUGAAUUUUGGUGGUUUAUUUUUUUUCACGAGCUUCGGAAUGUGACCUUUUGUGCUUCUAAUUGUCGACGUGCUCUUUGUGCUUCUCGUCAGACUUCUCUCCGUCAAUCGUUAAUAUCAUCUUUGUGUCUUUCCUCGUCAUCGCUUGGCUACAUUUUUUUCUGCGCGACAGAAGGCGUGCUACUGUCCAUACUAUAGUAAUCAU
Molecule: long non-coding RNA, 208 nt
Filed under: Brachypodium distachyon (stiff brome)
Lineage: Eukaryota; Viridiplantae; Streptophyta; Magnoliopsida; Poales; Poaceae
Description: long non-coding RNA (BDIS_LNC002387)
Source: RNAcentral